AAGCUGGAAUCGCUAGUAAUCGCGGAUCAGAAUGCCGCGGUGAAUACGUUCCCGGGUCUUGUACACACCGCCCGUCACACCAUGGGAGUCGGAAAUGCCCGAAGUCUGUGACCCAACCGUAAGGAGGGAGCAGCCGAAGGCAGGUCGGAUGACUGGGGUGAAGUCGUAACAAGGUAGC
Molecule: ribosomal RNA, 178 nt
Filed under: uncultured bacterium
Lineage: Bacteria
Description: partial 16S ribosomal RNA
Rfam family: Bacterial small subunit ribosomal RNA
Source: RNAcentral